AAGGGACAGUAUCUUUUGACGAGCCUCAAGUCUAGCAGGCUGACAUUUGAUAUGAUUUUGGAAAGGAGGUGGGUGAAGCCAAAAAAAAAACACAUUGAACUAAGCCAGUCCAGUCCAGCUGGUUAAAAGGAAAUAAACAAGCUCAAGGCUAGAAAAUGUUCAAAAAGAUGCAAUGACAAACAGACCAAGGAAACUAAGAGCAUCCACACAAUCACAACUAAAUAAAUGAGAAAAGGCAGAAAAGCCAUGAGAACACGAUCAAUCUUCAGGCUCAUCAACUUCUGGGGUCUCAACUUCAGCAGUCUCUUGCUCAGCUUCCUGCACCUCCUUCUCUGUCUUCUUUCCUUUCUUAGACUUAUAGUACACACUCAUGAAGGUUCCGAUGGCUCUAUACUUUUUCCUGCAGUUCUCAUAUAGGCUUCCAUCAAACAUUCUCCAGAAGUUCUUCUCCGUCAGCUCAGAGACAGCAUACUGUGGCUGGAAUCCAUGGUUCUCAAUCAACCAACUCUCCAACUUACGGACUGCCUCUAUACCAUCAAAGACCUCACCCCUCAAAAUAGGUCCAGGAGCAUAGUAGACACCAACAUCAGUGUACAUUUGAGCAUAUUUUGUGUCACCCUGCCUCUUCUGCAGCUCAAAACCUGGUUCAGGAUACACCAUUGUUUUAAGAGGCAGCCUGUAGAGUCUGUGGGGGCAGAGCCAGAGGGGAUACACCUCCAUCUCACGGUGGACCCACUCAAGAGCAUCACCAACCUUGUAGAGAGGAACAAGCAUAUCCUGAAUG
Molecule: unclassified non-coding RNA, 784 nt
Filed under: Hevea brasiliensis (rubber tree)
Lineage: Eukaryota; Viridiplantae; Streptophyta; Magnoliopsida; Malpighiales; Euphorbiaceae
Source: RNAcentral